GCAAAGAUCAUAAGUUAAUUGCCAUCCAUAUUAAGUUGCUUUCUAUCCAUAUUACCAUCCAAAAUAACUGCCACUUGGAACUUAAAUUGGCCUUCAACAGUUACCUCCGUAAUGGCCCAAAUUUGCUCGGCCCAAAUCAGAAAUAAAUACACUAAAAAUAAACCAAUAAAAAAAACAGUCCAUUUUAAAUGUCCAUUUACACUGGGCUCAAUACGACCCAAACUAAACACAAUCCACUAAGCCCAGAUUACAGACCCAAUUAAACCUAUGGCCCAAAACCUGACUCAGCCCAAAUGGCCCACAACAUAAACAUUUCAGCAAACCCUAGGGCGCCGCUCCUGCCUCUACCCAGCCCCAGCGCCGCAAGCCUCCUCGCGUGCCCACCACGCGCGAUGCCUCACACGAGCCGCGCCACGUCUCAGCUGGCCCUCGUACGCCCGUACACCUGCACACAACGAAUGCAACAAAGCAGAAAAGGCAGAAAAUGACAGCAAAAAUAGCAGAAAAAAAGAAAAAAAGAGGGAUUCGAGGGAGGAUUUUUUUUAUUUUUUAUUUUCUGUAAUUUGGCGCUAUAACGGAGUCAAUACAAACGUUGUAAGGGAUACACAGUUUAAGAAAUAAAAAACAAAAGAUUCAAAAAAGAGUGAUUCUAAAGGUAAAAAUCUGAAAGUUUGUCUUCUUUUUUUUUUCUCUUUUCAUUUUUCUUUUUGAUUCGUUUUUUAUACAUAAGCAAAGAAAAUAAAAGAAAAAGAAGAGUUAGAACUCGUACCUGGCAGUGCGAUCUUGGCUCUCUCUCCGUCGUCAUCGGAGUCUAGGGCAAGGUUCGGGGAGCCUUCGAAGAAGGCGAUGAACCAUCGUGCGGCGCAAAGGGAGAGAGUGCUUAGUUUUUUUUCUUUCAAAUGGCAGAUUAG
This 911-nucleotide long non-coding RNA is filed under the name Gossypium barbadense (sea-island cotton). RNAcentral's name for it is "long non-coding RNA (GBAR_LNC017373)". Lineage: Eukaryota; Viridiplantae; Streptophyta; Magnoliopsida; Malvales; Malvaceae. The record is from RNAcentral.